CCCUUAGAUGUUCUGGGCCGCACGCGUGCUACACUGAGUGGAUCAGCGGGUCAGGUUGCGCGAAAGCGUUUCCUAAUCUUUAAAUCCGCUCGUGAUGGGGAUUGACGGUUGCAAUUUUCUGUCAUGAACGAGGAAUACCUUGUAAGCGCGGGUCAUCAUCCCGCGCUGAAUACGUCCCUGCCCUUUGUACACACCGCCCGUCGCUCCUACCGAUUGAGUGGUCCGGUGAGGCUUUGGGAUCUGAGCGGAAAGAGCGUUUCGCUGUUUCUGCUCGGAAAACUCAGUCUAACCUUAUCAUUUAGAGGAAGGAGAAGUCGUAACA
This 322-nucleotide ribosomal RNA is filed under the name uncultured eukaryote. RNAcentral's name for it is "partial 18S ribosomal RNA". It matches the Rfam family "Eukaryotic small subunit ribosomal RNA", at positions 1470 to 1796 of the family's 1831-position model. The record is from RNAcentral.